RNAcentral lists this ribosomal RNA (467 nucleotides) under uncultured bacterium. RNAcentral's name for it is "bacterial SSU rRNA". It matches the Rfam family "Bacterial small subunit ribosomal RNA", at positions 8 to 526 of the family's 1533-position model. The record is from RNAcentral.
AGAGUUUGAUCAUGGCUCAGGAUGAACGCUGGCGGUAUGCUUAACACAUGCAAGUCGAACGGUCGCAAGACAGUGGCGGACGGGUGAGUAACGCGUAAGAAUCUGCCUACAGGACGGGGACAACAGAGGGAAACCCCUGCUAACACCCGAUGUGCCGAAAGGUAAAAUAUUUAUAGCCUGUAGAUGAGCUUGCGUCUGAUUAGCUAGUUGGAGUGGUAACGGCACACCAAGGCGACAAUCAGUAACUGGUCUGAGAGGAUGACCAGUCACACUGGGACUGAGACACGGCCCAGACUCCUACGGGAGGCAGCAGUGGGGAAUUUUCCGCAAUGGGCGCAAGCCUGACGGAGCAAUACCGCGUGAGGGACGAAGGUCUGUGGAUUGUAAACCUCUUUUGUCAGGGACGAUAAUGACGGUACCUGACGAAUAAGCAUCGGCUAACUCCGUGCCAGCCGCCGCGGUAAUUC